CCUACGGGAGGCAGCAGUGGGGAAUAUUGCACAAUGGGGGAAACCCUGAUGCAGCGACGCCGCGUGAGUGAAGAAGUAUUUCGGUAUGUAAAGCUCUAUCAGCAGGGAAGAAAAUGACGGUACCUGAUUAAGAAGCCCCGGCUAACUACGUGCCAGCAGCCGCGGUAAUACGUAGGGGGCAAGCGUUAUCCGGAUUUACUGGGUGUAAGGGGAGCGUAGACGGCAGCACAAGUCUGGGGGGAAAUGCCGGGGCUUAACCCCGGAACUGCUUUGGAAACUGUGCAGCUAGAGUGCAGGAGAGGUAAGUGGAAUUCCAAGUGAAGCGGUGAAAUGCGUAGAUAUUAGGAGGAACACCAGUGGCGAAGGCGGCUUACUGGACUGUAACUGACGUUGAGGCUCGAAAGCGUGGGGAGCAAACAGGAUUAGAUACCCGGGUAGUC
Molecule: ribosomal RNA, 440 nt
Filed under: uncultured bacterium
Lineage: Bacteria
Description: partial 16S ribosomal RNA
Rfam family: Bacterial small subunit ribosomal RNA
Source: RNAcentral